This 443-nucleotide ribosomal RNA is filed under the name uncultured bacterium. RNAcentral describes it as "partial 16S ribosomal RNA". It matches the Rfam family "Bacterial small subunit ribosomal RNA", at positions 338 to 795 of the family's 1533-position model. The record is from RNAcentral.
CCUACGGGGGGCUGCAGUGGGGAAUAUUGGGCAAUGGGCGCAAGCCUGACCCAGCAACGCCGCGUGAAGGAAGAAGGCUUUCGGGUUGUAAACUUCUUUUCUCAGGGACGAAGCAAGUGACGGUACCUGAUGAAUAAGCCACGGCUAACUACGUGCCAGCAGCCGCGGUAAUACGUAGGUGGCAAGGGUUAUCCGGAUUUACUGGGUGUAAAGGGCGUGUAGGCGGGGACGCAAGUCAGAUGUGAAAACCACGGGCUCAACCUGUGGCCUGCAUUUGAUACUGUGUUUCUUGAGUACUGGAGAGGCAGACGGAAUUCCAAGUGUAGCGGUGAAAUGCGUAGAUAUUAGGAGGAACACCAGUGGCGAAGGCGGUCUGCUGGACAGCAACUGACGCUGAGGCGCGAAAGCGUGGGGAGCAAACAGGAUUAGAUACCCUUGUAGUC